UACGAAGGGGGCUAGCGUUGUUCGGAAUUACUGGGCGUAAAGCGCACGUAGGCGGACUAUUAAGUCAGGGGUGAAAUCCCGAGGCUCAACCUCGGAACUGCCUUUGAUACUGGGGAUCUCGAGUCCGGGAGAGGUGAGUGGAACUGCGAGUGUAGAGGUGAAAUUCGUAGAUAUUCGCAAGAACACCAGUGGCGAAGGCGGCUCACUGGCCCGGAACUGACGCUGAGGUGCGAAAGCGUGGGGAGCAAACAGG
RNAcentral lists this ribosomal RNA (253 nucleotides) under uncultured bacterium. RNAcentral describes it as "partial 16S ribosomal RNA". It matches the Rfam family "Bacterial small subunit ribosomal RNA", at positions 524 to 776 of the family's 1533-position model. The record is from RNAcentral.